UUGUUAUUAAGGUUUUGAUUUGAGGUCUAUUAAUGAAAAUACAUUUUCUCCAUUUAUGAUUAAUCCCAAAUUUGAAGUUUUUCAUCUCCAUUAAGGAAGUUUCCAUCUUUUUUUUUUUCUAAAAUUUUAUGGUUAGACAUGACGAAAUACGAGUUGAAUAAUUUGUGUAUGGAUGAGAUUGAUCUAAUGAUUAAUGCUGAAGUACGAUGUAAACAUGACAUUUAUUGCAAAUGUAGACGUCUUGAUCAGAUUGUAAUUCCGGUAGAAGAUUUUGGGCGUGUCCUCAUUGUAAGGAUACGAAUUGCAAGUAUUUUAGAUGGAGAGAUUUAGAACGAGCAGACGAAAGAUCAAAAUUUAUUCUUCUAAGAUUGGUGAACAAGAUUAAUGAAUUAGAAAAUAAUUAUGAGCGAGUUAAGAUGCAACUGAAUAAGCUUGAAAGCUUGAAUAUUAGCAUAAUAAUCCCAACAAUAUGAAUGUGAAGGAUGAGGUUGAAAAUUUGCAGACUAAAUUUCAAAGUCUCAACAUCUAGACAAGUUGUUCAAAUGUGAAGGAUGAAGUAGAUGAGAAUGUGAUAGGUAAUUUGAAAGGGAAUGGCAAGUGCGAUUUGAAAGACAAGAGAAUGAAAAUGAAAAAAGAAGAAGAA
This is an RNA transcript of Capsicum annuum, 643 nucleotides long. RefSeq lists it as uncharacterized. The transcript is spliced from 2 exons. The record is from RefSeq and is a predicted model, not a curated record. NCBI's taxonomy places the organism in Eukaryota, Viridiplantae, Streptophyta, Magnoliopsida, Solanales, Solanaceae.